AACUUGGCUCCGGGGUCUCCUUCCCUUGUUGGUCUCCAUGUUCUCUUUGCUCCAGCUCCCGGGUGAAUCUCACUGUGACGCAGCCUGGCGAUCAAAGGAGGCGGUCUAUCACAACGGAAGAUGGGACGUCAGAACUGAAGAGUGGGAAGUUUGAAAUCUGAGUCCAUCUCUGAUCACAGUGGGGAACAAUCCUCAUGUAUGAGUCACCCACCUCCUCCCAGGAGUACCUCCCAGUUAUUUCUCUCACACUCUCUCUCUUUGGGCCUCAGGAUGGGGAGUCUGUCUCAGACUUUUUCAACCUGCAUCUCUUUGACUUUAGCUUGAGGACUUUGAGCUUGACUGCAGCACUGCUCAUGACAAUGGGCAGAGUUCUAAAUAAGAACACAAGAUGGAGCCAUUCGCGACAGGCACUGCAGAGGCAGAACAGGCAGCAGAGGAAGACAACCAGGCGCAAGCAGAAUGCAUUUUAAUUGGCAGUGCUGAUGCAAACACCAACACGGCUGCUACUCUGAAAACUGAUGUGGAACUGAUACUUACCAGCAAUGGACAGCUAGAAACAUUACAGGAAAAGGAAGGACACCCUCAGCUAGAAAUCAAGGCCCAGCUCCUCAGCUGGUGUGAUCCAGCGUAGCCACAUUGAAGUCCGUGGUGUUUCACUGGUUUGCACCAUGUGAGGAUCUGAAAGUACAGAAAUUCUAUAGAAAAUGUCACACAAUGAAUGCCAGGUUGUCCAAGUA
Long non-coding RNA from Mauremys reevesii (Reeves's turtle), 737 nucleotides. RefSeq lists it as uncharacterized. NCBI's taxonomy places the organism in Eukaryota, Metazoa, Chordata, Testudines, Geoemydidae. The record is from RefSeq and is a predicted model, not a curated record. The transcript is spliced from 2 exons.